Molecule: non-coding RNA, 76 nt
Filed under: Novipirellula maiorica
Lineage: Bacteria; Pseudomonadati; Planctomycetota; Planctomycetia; Pirellulales; Pirellulaceae
Also listed under: 1 other name
Description: Rhodopirellula maiorica c-di-GMP sequence
Rfam family: c-di-GMP-I riboswitch aptamer
About the family: GEMM was predicted in a large-scale screen for bacterial structured RNA regulatory elements. Genes associated with GEMM are involved in a diverse array of functions, including chemotaxis regulation, signal transduction, secretion and chitin.
Source: RNAcentral
CAAAGACCCCGGCAACCCAAUCGUGAGAUUGGUUCGCAAAGCCAUGGGCCUCACGCGAGGUCGCCAGGCCGCCAAC